Molecule: long non-coding RNA, 338 nt
Filed under: Volvox carteri
Lineage: Eukaryota; Viridiplantae; Chlorophyta; Chlorophyceae; Chlamydomonadales; Volvocaceae
Description: long non-coding RNA (VCAR_LNC002200)
Source: RNAcentral
UCAGUGGUAUGGCCGCCAGUGCAUGCUCGCGAGUGUAUACGUGCAUGUGGGCGGGUAGUUGAGCAUGGCGAGUAAAUUGGAAAAGGUUGAAAAGAGGGGAAUCCGCCUUCUCUAACGAAGGAGACGGGAGAUCUCCCGUCUCCUUCGGUCCAUGGAGACUCAAAGUCCCUGCACCGCGUCAUUAAACACAACAAUACCGAUAGGUCGGUGCGCAGACGCGAAAGAACGAAGGACACGAUGGGCAUAAAAAACACUUACAGGUCAGGUAAUUGCAUGCGCGACCCGUUGGUCCCAACUGUAUGGAGGUUUUCCCGACCAAAUAUGCUUGAUGAGGAUAG